GGGGAUAACACUUGGAAACAGGUGCUAAUACCGUAUAACACUAUUUUCCGCAUGGAAGAAAGUUGAAAGGCGCUUUUGCGUCACUGAUGGAUGGACCCGCGGUGCAUUAGCUAGUUGGUGAGGUAACGGCUCACCAAGGCCACGAUGCAUAGCCGACCUGAGAGGGUGAUCGGCCACACUGGGACUGAGACACGGCCCAGACUCCUACGGGAGGCAGCAGUAGGGAAUCUUCGGCAAUGGACGAAAGUCUGACCGAGCAACGCCGCGUGAGUGAAGAAGGUUUUCGGAUCGUAAAACUCUGUUGUUAGAGAAGAACAAGGAUGAGAGUAAAAUGUUCAUCCCUUGACGGUAUCUAACCAGAAAGCCACGGCUAACUACGUGCCAGCAGCCGCGGUAAUACGUAGGUGGCAAGCGUUGUCCGGAUUUAUUGGGCGUAAAGCGAGCGCAGGCGGUUUCUUAAGUCUGAUGUGAAAGCCCCCGGCUCAACCGGGGAGGGUCAUUGGAAACUGGGAGACUUGAGUGCAGAAGAGGAGAGUGGAAUUCCAUGUGUAGCGGUGAAAUGCGUAGAUAUAUGGAGGAACACCAGUGGCGAAGGCGGCUCUCUGGUCUGUAACUGACGCUGAGGCUCGAAAGCGUGGGGAGCGAACAGGAUUAGAUACCCUGGUAGUCCACGCCGUAAACGAUGAGUGAUAAGUGUUGGAGGGUUUCCGCCCUUCAGUGCUGCAG
Molecule: ribosomal RNA, 726 nt
Filed under: uncultured bacterium
Lineage: Bacteria
Description: bacterial SSU rRNA
Rfam family: Bacterial small subunit ribosomal RNA
Source: RNAcentral